CGUUGUACACACCGCCCGUCACACCAUGGGAGCGGGUUCUGCCAGAAGUAGUUAGCCUAACCGCAAGGAGGGCGAUUACCACGGCAGGGUUCGUGACUGGGGUG
RNAcentral lists this ribosomal RNA (104 nucleotides) under uncultured bacterium. Its description in RNAcentral is "partial 16S ribosomal RNA". It matches the Rfam family "Bacterial small subunit ribosomal RNA", at positions 1379 to 1482 of the family's 1533-position model. The record is from RNAcentral.